Molecule: transfer RNA, 66 nt
Filed under: Cryptotermes cavifrons
Lineage: Eukaryota; Metazoa; Arthropoda; Insecta; Blattodea; Kalotermitidae
Also listed under: 1 other name
Description: tRNA-Pro
Source: RNAcentral
CAGGGGGUAGUUUAUUUUAAAAUGUUAACUUUGGAGGUUAUUGAUGAGAUAUGUUCUUCCCUUUGA